UAGUCCACGCCGUAAACGAUGAUAACUAGCUGUUCGGGUUCACAGAACUUGAGUGGUGCAGCUAACGCAUUAAGUUAGCCACCUGGGGAGUACGAUCGCAAGGUUGAAACUCAAAGGAAUUGACGGGGGCCCGCACAAGCGGUGGAGCAUGUGGAUUAAUUCGAUGAUACGCGAGGAACCUUACCAGGGCUUAAAUGAUAAUUGACCGUCGCCGAAAGGUGUCUUUCUUUUAGACAAGUAUCAAGGUGCUGCAUGGCCGUCGUCAGCUCGUGCCGUGAGGUGUUGGGUUAAGUCCCGCAACGAGCGCAACCCCUAUCUCUAGUUGCCAGCACAUAAUGGUGGGGACUCUAGAGACACUGCCUACGUAAGUAGUGAGGAAGGUGGGGACGACGUCAGGUCAUCAUGGCCCUUACGUCCUGGGCUUCACACGUGCUACAAUGGAUGGUACAAAGAGCAGCCACUCAGCGAUGAGGAGCGAAUCUCAAAAAACCAUUCUCAGUUC
RNAcentral lists this ribosomal RNA (502 nucleotides) under uncultured bacterium. RNAcentral's name for it is "bacterial SSU rRNA". It matches the Rfam family "Bacterial small subunit ribosomal RNA", at positions 791 to 1294 of the family's 1533-position model. The record is from RNAcentral.